AGAUCAUGGCUCGAAGGAUAGAACGCUAGGCGGCGAGGACUUUAAUACAUGACAAGUACGAAGGGGGUAGCAAUACAACCGGCGCACGGGUGAGUAACGCGUACACAACAUACCAUAUACUGGGGUAUAGCUUCGGGAAACUGGAGAUAACUCCCCCAUAACAUUGCGAGAGGGCAUCUGAUUGCAAUUAAAGUUUCGACGGUAUAUGAUUGGUGUGCGUUUGAUUAGCUUGUUGGUAGGGUAACGGCCUACCAAGGCGACGAUCAAUAGCUGGCGUGAGAGCGCGACCAGCCACACUGGAACUGAGACACGGUCCAGACUCCUACGGGAGGCAGCAGUAGGGAAUAUUGGACAAUGGGCGAAAGCCUGAUCCAGCCAUGCCGCGUGAUAGAUGAAGGCCCUCUGGGUUGUAAAUAUCUUUAUCUGGGAGGAAACUCCUCUAUUCUUAGAGGCCUGACGGUACCAGAGGAAUAAGCACCGGCUAACUCCGUG
Molecule: ribosomal RNA, 492 nt
Filed under: uncultured bacterium
Lineage: Bacteria
Description: bacterial SSU rRNA
Rfam family: Bacterial small subunit ribosomal RNA
Source: RNAcentral